This 235-nucleotide ribosomal RNA is filed under the name uncultured Actinomycetales bacterium. RNAcentral describes it as "partial 16S ribosomal RNA". It matches the Rfam family "Bacterial small subunit ribosomal RNA", at positions 96 to 334 of the family's 1533-position model. The record is from RNAcentral. Lineage: Bacteria; Bacillati; Actinomycetota; Actinomycetes; Actinomycetales.
UGGCGAACGGGUGAGUAGCACGUGGGUGAUCUGCCCUGCACUCUGGGAUAAGCCUGGGAAACUGGGUCUAAUACCGGAUAGGACCAUGCUUUAGUGUGUGCGGUGGAAAGUUUUUUCGGUGUAGGAUGAGCCCGCGGCCUAUCAGCUUGUUGGUGGGGUAAUGGCCUACCAAGGCGGCGACGGGUAGCCGGACUGAGAGGUUGGUCGGCCACAUUGGGACUGAGAUACGGCCCAG